This 260-nucleotide long non-coding RNA is filed under the name Mytilus galloprovincialis (Mediterranean mussel). The record is from RNAcentral. Lineage: Eukaryota; Metazoa; Mollusca; Bivalvia; Mytilida; Mytilidae.
GCCUUAUUUGGUGCAGGAAAUGCUUACCCUUCCGAAGCACCUGAUUUCACUCUUGGUUUUUAGUGGAGUUCGUGUUGAUUCUUAUUUUUUUUUACUGUUGUUGUAAAUGUCUUUUGGUUUUAUGAGUCUUUGUUUACUUCUUGGUUUUGAUUGUUAUUGUCUUAAUUAAGUUGACUCUGGUCAUCAAUGUUUCUUUGUUUUAAUUUAUUUUUAAAUGUUCCGAUGAGUCUUUCGUAUAUGAAACGUACAUAGUGUAAUGC